CAGACCAAAGUCAGGCACCAAAUCUGGCUCCCCCUCUCUUUACUGUUUGAAGGAAAGCCGCCUUGCCACACCAACAAAGGAGAGCGUGCAGCUGGCCAAAUGGCACCAAAUAGCACUUCGUUGCAGAUAAACCCGAAAGGCUCCCGGAAAAUACUGAAGCAGGAAUGCCAUUGUCACCCAAGAUGAAUCCUAUAGAAAUAACUCAUUUUUGCCCAGCAAAGUAUGCAUUUCAGAAGGAAUGACUUACCCAAAUCACCAACGGGAUCAAGUGGGAUUCCUGUGAAGCCGUGCGGAGUGAUCGGAGGACCCGGGUGCUUUUAUAGGGUCCCCGAUGGAGGAGCAGAAAGGAGCCACCCUUUGUGGACGUUGUCCUGAUUCAUCUUUGGCCAAGCCCAGCUGCACCUUCAUGUCCUCAAACGGGUUAUUUAACUUAUCAUCCCCUUACCUAUCAUUUUAACCCAGAAAUAGCAGUUGCCAUGUGGCAAUUCAGGCAUCAGCUGGUUCCACCUAAUCCGGACUGUAAAGUUAUUUUACAGGUAUGCAUUUAUGUAUGUAUGAUACACACCCAUAAAAAUAGUACUGGACCUGGAGGACGUCGAUAGAAGUGCUGACGUUCGCAGAGUUGUAAGCACCCUGGGGACAGAGGGGAUCUGCAUGGCUCUCCAGCUUGGUGCUGCACCACCAGAGGGAGCAAAUAAGGGAGACAUCAGCCGUGCCACCUCGGCCCCUGCGUUUGGUUUUGGAGCUGGGCUGCUGCCUUGACAAGCGUGCUGGAGACAUUGCGGAGAGCCUCCGGAGCAUGAACCUGUCAC
Molecule: long non-coding RNA, 812 nt
Organism: Oxyura jamaicensis (ruddy duck)
Lineage: Eukaryota; Metazoa; Chordata; Aves; Anseriformes; Anatidae
Exons: 3
Source: RefSeq, a predicted model, not a curated record